This 275-nucleotide ribosomal RNA is filed under the name uncultured prokaryote. RNAcentral's name for it is "partial 16S ribosomal RNA". It matches the Rfam family "Bacterial small subunit ribosomal RNA", at positions 524 to 798 of the family's 1533-position model. The record is from RNAcentral.
UACGAAGGGUGCAAGCGUUAAUCGGAAUUACUGGGCGUAAAGCGCGCGUAGGUGGUUCGUUAAGUUAGGAGUGAAAGCCCCGGGCUCAACCUGGGAAUUGCUUCUAAAACUGGCGAGCUAGAGUAUGGUAGAGGGUGGUGGAAUUUCCUGUGUAGCGGUGAAAUGCGUAGAUAUAGGAAGGAACAUCAGUGGCGAAGGCGACCACCUGGACUGAUACUGACACUGAGGUGCGAAAGCGUGGGGAGCAAACAGGAUUAGAUAUCCCCGUAGUCCCU